UAAAGGAAUUGGCGGGGGAGCACUACAAGGGGUGGAGCGUGCGGUUUAAUUGGAUUCAACGCCGGGAACCUCACCGGGGGCGACGGCAGGAUGAAGGCCAGGCUGAAGGUCUUGCCGGACACGCCGAGAGGAGGUGCAUGGCCGCCGUCAGCUCGUACCGUGAGGCGUCCACUUAAGUGUGGUAACGAGCGAGACCCGCGCCCCCAGUCGCCAGCCCUUCCCGUUGGGAAGGGGGCACUCUGGGGGGACCGCCGGCGAUAAGCCGGAGGAAGGAGCGGGCGACGGUAGGUCAGUAUGCCCCGAAACCCCCGGGCUACACGCGCGCUACAAUGAGCGGGACAAUGGGAUCCGACCCCGAAAGGGGAAGGGAAUCCCCUAAACCCGCUCCCAGUUCGGAUCGCGGGCUGCAACUCGCCCGCGUGAAGCUGGAAUCCCUAGUACCCGCGUGUCAUCAUCGCGCGGCGAAUACGUCCCUGCUCCUUGCACACACCGCCA
This 495-nucleotide ribosomal RNA is filed under the name uncultured archaeon. Its description in RNAcentral is "bacterial SSU rRNA". It matches the Rfam family "Archaeal small subunit ribosomal RNA", at positions 857 to 1351 of the family's 1478-position model. The record is from RNAcentral.